CACAGUCUUAUCAUGCGCUAGGGGGACCCCGAAGUGCCCAAAUACCCUUUCCACUGUGUUGAGCAAGAUCCUACAAGCCUGAGAAUGCGCUGGGCCUACACACAGAAAGUCAUCUCGAUCCCCGACUCCUGCCGCACCACCCACUCCAGGAAAGUGCUGAAGCAUUCAAAGUAAAAACAGGAUAUGGAACAACCCAUCGGAAGGCACAUAUUCACGUAAUACUGGCUAUCAAAACUACAACCGAGGAGGUGAUGGCAAUCUGGG
This is a non-coding RNA of Pelobates cultripes (western spadefoot toad), 264 nucleotides long. The record is from the annotation of a GenBank genome assembly. Lineage: Eukaryota; Metazoa; Chordata; Amphibia; Anura; Pelobatidae.